CUGGUUCAGAUUGAAGGCUGGCGGAAGCCUUAACACAUGCAAUUCGAACGCCGGCACGGGGGUAACCUUGGUGGGGAGUGGCGAACGGGUGAGUAAUACAUCGGAACGUGUCCUGUAGUGGGGGAUAGCCCGGCGAAAGCCGGAUUAAUACCGCAUACGCUUUACGGAGGAAAGGGGGGGAUCUUAGGACCUCUCGCUACAGGGGCGGCCGAUGGCAGAUUAGCUAGUUGGUGGGGUAAAGGCCUACCAAGGCGACGAUCUGUAGCUGGUCUGAGAGGACGACCAGCCACACUGGGACUGAGACACGGCCCAGACUCCUACGGGAGGCAGCAGUGGGGAAUUUUGGACAAUGGGGGAAACCCUGAUCCAGCAAUGCCGCGUGUGUGAAGAAGGCCUUCGGGUUGUAAAGCACUUUUGUCCGGAAAGAAAACAUAUGCACUAAUACUGUGUGUGGAUGACGGUACCGGAAGAAUAAGCACCGGCUUAU
This 487-nucleotide ribosomal RNA is filed under the name Burkholderia sp. HPN51. Its description in RNAcentral is "bacterial SSU rRNA". It matches the Rfam family "Bacterial small subunit ribosomal RNA", at positions 19 to 501 of the family's 1533-position model. Lineage: Bacteria; Pseudomonadati; Pseudomonadota; Betaproteobacteria; Burkholderiales; Burkholderiaceae. The record is from RNAcentral.